UACGUAGGGACCAAGCGUUGUUCGGAUUUACUGGGCGUAAAGGGCGCGUAGGCGGCGCGGUAAGUCACUUGUGAAAUCUCUGAGCUUAACUCAGAACGGCCAAGUGAUACUGCAGUGCUAGAGUGUGGAAGGGGCAAUCGGAAUUCUUGGUGUAGCGGUGAAAUGCGUAGAUAUCAAGAGGAACACCCGAGGUGAAGACGGGUUGCUGGGCCAACACUGACGCUGAUGCGCGAAAGCCAGGGGAGCAAACGGG
This 253-nucleotide ribosomal RNA is filed under the name uncultured bacterium. RNAcentral's name for it is "partial 16S ribosomal RNA". It matches the Rfam family "Bacterial small subunit ribosomal RNA", at positions 524 to 776 of the family's 1533-position model. The record is from RNAcentral.